Molecule: ribosomal RNA, 253 nt
Filed under: uncultured bacterium
Lineage: Bacteria
Description: partial 16S ribosomal RNA
Rfam family: Bacterial small subunit ribosomal RNA
Source: RNAcentral
UACGUAGGCAGCAAGCGUUGUUCGGAGUUACUGGGCGUAAAGGGUGUGUAGGCGGCUCUUUAAGUUUGGUGUGAAAUCUCCCGGCUCAACCGGGAGGGUGCGCCGAAUACUGAGGGACUCGAGUGCGGGAGAGGAAAGUGGAAUUCCUGGUGUAGCGGUGAAAUGCGUAGAUAUCAGGAGGAACACCGGUGGUGUAGACGGCUUUCUGGACCGUAACUGACGCUGAGACACGAAAGCGUGGGGAGCAAAACGG